RNAcentral lists this ribosomal RNA (137 nucleotides) under uncultured bacterium. RNAcentral describes it as "partial 16S ribosomal RNA". It matches the Rfam family "Bacterial small subunit ribosomal RNA", at positions 355 to 509 of the family's 1533-position model. The record is from RNAcentral.
UGGGGAAUAUUGCACAAUGGGGGAAACCCUGAUGCAGCGACGCCGCGUGAGUGAGGAAGUAUUUCGGUAUGUAAAGCUCUAUCAGCAGGGAAGAAAAUGACGGUACCUGACUAAGAAGCCCCGGCUAACUACGUGCC